Molecule: long non-coding RNA, 385 nt
Filed under: Penaeus japonicus
Lineage: Eukaryota; Metazoa; Arthropoda; Malacostraca; Decapoda; Penaeidae
Description: uncharacterized LOC122265790, transcript variant X1
Source: RNAcentral
UAACAGCAUGAAGGUCGCGGCAGUGCUGUGCUUCGCUGCCACAUUGGCCGUUGCAGUUGCCAUACCGCCGCCAGAAUCAGGAGAAGCUUCUGCAUUUGCCAAAGCCCCAACUGUGCCUGCCUUUGCACCCGCUCCCUUGGCACCGGCGACACCAAAGAUGGCCAAGAUAUACCAAACAGUGUCAGCUUUCUUCCUGCCUCCCAUCCCGAUCCCUGAUUAAGAAGUCCAUAAAUGGCUCUGCCUAAUCUUACCUUUCGAAGAUCUUGUAAAUCACAUAUUUGAGCCUAUUUAGAAAUGGGAUAGGCCUAGUUUAAAAAGUGGAUUUUGUAUUUACAGUAAUUUGUUGAAAAAUGUGAAAUGCACCAAAAUAAAAGUUUAUGUUGUA